UACGUAGGCGGGCUAAUAAGUCAGGGGUGAAAUCCCACAGCUUAACUGUGGAACUGCCUUUGAUACUGUUAGUCUUGAGUUAUAUGGAAGUAGAUAGAAUGUGUAGUGUAGCGGUGAAAUGCAUAGAUAUUACACAGAAUACCGAUUGCGAAGGCAGUCUACUACGUAUAUACUGACGCUAAUGGACGAAAGCGUGGGGAGCGAACAGGAUUAGAUACCCUGGUAGUCC
This 229-nucleotide ribosomal RNA is filed under the name uncultured bacterium. Its description in RNAcentral is "partial 16S ribosomal RNA". It matches the Rfam family "Bacterial small subunit ribosomal RNA", at positions 568 to 796 of the family's 1533-position model. The record is from RNAcentral.